AACGCUGGCGGCAGGCUUAACACAUGCAAGUCGAACGAUAUAGUGGCAGACGGGUGAGUAACGCGUGGGAACGUACCUUUCACUACGGAAUAGCUCUUGGAAACGAGUGGUAAUACCGUAUACGCCCUUCGGGGGAAAGAUUUAUCGGUGAAAGAUCGGCCCGCGUUAGAUUAGCUAGUUGGUAGGGUAAUGGCCUACCAAGGCGACGAUCUAUAGCUGGUCUGAGAGGAUGAUCAGCCACACUGGGACUGAGACACGGCCCAGACUCCUACGGGAGGCAGCAGUGGGGAAUCUUGCACAAUGGGCGAAAGCCUGAUGCAGCCAUGCCGCGUGAAUGAUGAAGGCCUUAGGGUUGUAAAAUUCUUUCGCUAGGGAUGAUAAUGACAGUACCUAGUAAAGAAGC
RNAcentral lists this ribosomal RNA (403 nucleotides) under uncultured Hyphomonas sp. RNAcentral's name for it is "bacterial SSU rRNA". It matches the Rfam family "Bacterial small subunit ribosomal RNA", at positions 32 to 491 of the family's 1533-position model. Lineage: Bacteria; Pseudomonadati; Pseudomonadota; Alphaproteobacteria; Hyphomonadales; Hyphomonadaceae. The record is from RNAcentral.